GAUGAAGAACGCAGCGAAAUGCGAUAAGUAAUGUGAAUUGCAGAAUUCAGUGAAUCAUCGAAUCUUUGAACGCACAUUGCGCCCGCCAGUAUUCUGGCGGGCAUGCCUGUCCGAGCGUCAUUUCAACCAUCAAGCCCCCGGGCUUGUGUUGGGGACCUGCGGCUGCCCGCAGGCCCUGAAAACCAGUGGCGGGCUCGCUGUCACACCGAGCGUAGUAGCAAUCACCUCGCUCAGGGCGUGCUGCGGGUUACGGCCGUUAAACAGCCUUACAAAACCCAAGGUUGACCUCGGAUCAGGUAGGAAGACCCGCUGAACUUAAGCAUAUCAAUAAGCGGAGGA
RNAcentral lists this unclassified non-coding RNA (339 nucleotides) under soil metagenome. RNAcentral describes it as "partial contains 5.8S ribosomal RNA, internal transcribed spacer 2, and large subunit ribosomal RNA". The stretch from base 1 to 120 matches the Rfam family "5.8S ribosomal RNA", at positions 35 to 154 of the family's 154-position model. The record is from RNAcentral.